This 786-nucleotide ribosomal RNA is filed under the name uncultured bacterium. RNAcentral describes it as "bacterial SSU rRNA". It matches the Rfam family "Bacterial small subunit ribosomal RNA", at positions 66 to 849 of the family's 1533-position model. The record is from RNAcentral.
GGCAGCACGAUGUAGCAAUACAUUGGUGGCGACCGGCGCACGGGUGAGUAACGCGUAUGCAACCUACCUAUCAGAGGGGAAUAACCCGGCGAAAGUCGGACUAAUACCGCAUAAAACAGGGGUUCCACAUGGAAAUAUUUGUUAAAGAAUUAUCGCUGAUAGAUGGGCAUGCGUUCCAUUAGAUAGUUGGUGAGGUAACGGCUCACCAAGUCCACGAUGGAUAGGGGUUCUGAGAGGAAGGUCCCCCACACUGGUACUGAGACACGGACCAGACUCCUACGGGAGGCAGCAGUGAGGAAUAUUGGUCAAUGGGCGAGAGCCUGAACCAGCCAAGUCGCGUGAAGGAUGAAGGAUCUAUGGUUUGUAAACUUCUUUUAUAUGGGAAUAAAGUGAGGAACGUGUUCCUUUUUGUAUGUACCAUAUGAAUAAGCAUCGGCUAACUCCGUGCCAGCAACCGCGGUAAUACGGAGGAUGCGAGCGUUAUCCGGAUUUAUUGGGUUUAAAGGGUGCGUAGGUGGUUAAUUAAGUCAGCGGUGAAAGUUUGUGGCUCAACCAUAAAAUUGCCGUUGAAACUGGUUGACUUGAGUAUAUUUGAGGUAGGCGGAAUGCGUGGUGUAGCGGUGAAAUGCAUAGAUAUCACGCAGAACUCCGAUUGCGAAGGCAGCUUACUAAACUAUAACUGACACUGAAGCACGAAAGCGUGGGGAUCAAACAGGAUUAGAUACCCUGGUAGUCCACGCAGUAAACGAUGAUUACUAGCUGUUUGCGAUACACAGUAAGCGGCAC